UACGGGGGGGAGCAAGCGUUGUUCGGAUUUACUGGGCGUAAAGGGCGCGUAGGCGGUCGUGACAAGUCACUUGUGAAAUCUCCGGGCUUAACUCGGAACGGUCAAGUGAUACUGUCGGACUAGAGUACAGAAGGGGCAACUGGAAUUCUCGGUGUAGCGGUGAAAUGCGUAGAUAUCGAGAGGAACACCUGCGGCGAAGGCGGGUUGCUGGGCUGAUACUGACGCUGAGGAGCGAAAGCGUGGGGAGCGAACAGG
RNAcentral lists this ribosomal RNA (255 nucleotides) under uncultured bacterium. Its description in RNAcentral is "partial 16S ribosomal RNA". It matches the Rfam family "Bacterial small subunit ribosomal RNA", at positions 524 to 776 of the family's 1533-position model. The record is from RNAcentral.